This 72-nucleotide transfer RNA is filed under the name Camelus bactrianus (Bactrian camel). It matches the Rfam family "tRNA". From Rfam's summary of the family: Transfer RNA (tRNA) molecules are approximately 80 nucleotides in length. Their secondary structure includes four short double-helical elements and three loops (D, anti-codon, and T loops). Further hydrogen bonds mediate the characteristic L-shaped molecular structure. tRNAs have two regions of fundamental functional importance: the anti-codon, which is responsible for specific mRNA codon recognition, and the 3' end, to which the tRNAs corresponding amino acid is attached (by aminoacyl-tRNA synthetases). tRNAs cope with the degeneracy of the genetic code in two manners: having more than one tRNA (with a specific anti-codon) for a particular amino acid; and 'wobble' base-pairing, i.e. permitting non-standard base-pairing at the 3rd anti-codon position. RNAcentral also lists the same sequence under 2 other names. The record is from Rfam by way of RNAcentral. Lineage: Eukaryota; Metazoa; Chordata; Mammalia; Artiodactyla; Camelidae.
GAGGCUAUAGCUCAGUGGUAGAGUGCAUGCCUAGCAUGUGCAAUAUUCUGGGUUCAAUCCCCAGUACCUUCA